This 562-nucleotide ribosomal RNA is filed under the name uncultured bacterium. RNAcentral's name for it is "bacterial SSU rRNA". It matches the Rfam family "Bacterial small subunit ribosomal RNA", at positions 338 to 916 of the family's 1533-position model. The record is from RNAcentral.
CCUACGGGAGGCAGCAGUGGGGAAUCUUGCGCAAUGGGCGAAAGCCUGACGCAGCCAUGCCGCGUGAAUGAUGAAGGUCUUAGGAUUGUAAAAAUUCUUUCACCGGGGACGAUAAUGACGGUACCCGGAGAAGAAGCCCCGGCUAACUUCGUGCCAGCAGCCGCGGUAAUACGAAGGGGGGCUAGCGUUGCUCGGAAUUACUGGGCGUAAAGGGAGCGUAGGCGGAUAGUUUAGUCAGAGGUGAAAGCCCAGGGCUCAACCUUGGAAUUGCCUUUGAUACUGGCUAUCUUGAGUAUGGGAGAGGUUAGCGGAACUCCGAGUGUAGAGGUGAAAUUCGUAGAUAUUCGGAAGAACACCAGUGGCGAAGGCGGCUAACUGGCCCAUUACUGACGCUGAGGCUCGAAAGCGUGGGGAGCAAACAGGAUUAGAUACCCUGGUAGUCCACGCCGUAAACGAUGAGUGCUAGUUGUCGGCAUGCAUGCAUGUCGGUGACGCAGCUAACGCAUUAAGCACUCCGCCUGGGGAGUACGGUCGCAAGAUUAAAACUCAAAUGAAUUGACGG